AAUUUUCAUCCAUUUAUAAUUGGCUUUAGAAAUCAGCACAUAAACCCUCCCAACUCAUUUCUCUUGGUUGGCCAAAGAAAAAAAAGGGAAGAAAAAAAGAAGAACAAAACCCUAGCUAAGAAAUUCAAGGGAAAAUCACUAGAUUUCAAGGAAUCAAGACAUCAAAGGUGAAAUUUCUUAACUCUAGCUUGUGAUCUAUCUUUCCUAUGCAUUCUUUUGCAUUUUCCAUGGUUGAAUCACAAGAUAUCAUGAAGGAUUCAUGGCUGACCGAAUUUAGAGAGAGAAAAUUUGAUGAUUUAUUUGGUUAGAAUUUGAGAUAUUUUAGUGUUUUUAGUUGAUUUAUCAUGUUUGGAAGGAAAACAAGUAAGAAAAAUCACAUAUUCUUCAUGGAUUCUUCAUUGGCCGAAUUUCAUAAAGAAAAUAUUCAACAUGAAUCUUGUGAUGUCUUAUGUUAUUUAGUUAAAAUUUAAUGAAUUGUGGUGGUGGAAACCGAAAAUGGUAAUGUUUAGCAUGAAAAAUCGUAUACCCCUCAAGAACCUCCAUGGCCAAAUUUUUGAAGAGAAAAUGUGAGGAUGAUUUUACCAUAUUUCAAGUUAUUUAAUUUGUGUUUGAUGAUUUGGAGUAUUGGAAGAGAAAUGGAAUUAUUUGGAGUUGAAUUGGACGUAUUGGCCAAUUAAUCGGGUGAUAGAUCGAAUUAGUCUAAUACCAUUUUAUUUAGGUACACAAUUGAACUUAUAUUGAACGUCGUAUUUAGAUGGUUACCCGAGCAUUUCACAUCCCAUUUCAUGCAUUAGUAUAAAGCCUGAAUUAGUUUUAUAACAGUUUAGCACAAAUGUAGUAAAUGGCUUAUUGUGCAUUAUGUCAAGUGGUGAACAUUCUGGCAAAAGUAAAGAGAUAGUACCCGAGGAUCAAGAAUCUGAGUACUCGAAACUCGAUUCCCAUUACAAUGAGUAACCUUAUUAUCAUCUUAAUUAUCUAAAGUAUGUUUUUAUCCGAUUUUGUAAUUUUAUGAAAAAUGUGUUUAAAUGAAAUGAUUUUAUAAAUUGUUUUGAAAUUUAAUGAUGACUUGAAAAUGGAGUAAUUGGAGACUACUUGCUGUAUUGUAAAUUAUGUUUUGAAUUGAAUGCCUUAUGAUAAUGUGGGCAUGAAUGGCUGGAUGGGUAUUUAUAUUGAAAAUGUAUAAACUGUUGUUUGCCUUGAUAGGCUGGAUAAUGAUAAAAUUGCCAUGUCAUGCUAUUGAAUUUUAUUGAAUUGGUGAGUUAUAGAUUGGUCACUGCAAUGGCAGGAUCUGUGGAUCAGCCUAUUAGAGGGGCACGAAAUCCGGUUAUAUUCUUACCUCCGUCGGAGAGGCGCGUAGUGUAUCUCCUGGGGUAUGGUUAGAGUUCAAGUCACGCCGAACCACCACGUGAAGAUGAACUCCGCUAACGCCAAGGAACAGCUGUGUUUUCUAACGUGAAAAUAUGUUUACGUGUAUAUGAAAUUUUUGACAGCCUUGGCGGACUUGGUUGGAUACCUCUGAUCAAGGUGUCAUUGAGCACAAGUUUUGGCACGAGCCAAGUUUUAAGAAAUUCAUAAGCCAUGUUGAUUACUCAAUUUAAAUGAAUUGAUUUUAUUUGGUUGAAAUGAGUUGAAAGGUGAUGAAUUACAGUAUGAUGAUUUAUUUCAAUCAUCUCCAUUUACUCGACUUUAGAUAUUUUAGAUGAUGUUUGUUUACUCACUGGGAUUAUAUAAUCUCAUCACCCUCUUUUCCACCUAUUUCAGGCUCAAGAUAGUUUGUAGAUAAUUGAUAUCGUCGAAGACUACAGCUGGCUUUACUUCCUCAAAAAUCGUAAGUUCGCAGCCUUCGUUCACUUUUGUCAUUUGAGGGCCCACGUGUCAUUGUAAAUUAAAUUACAUACCUUGACUAUCUGUAUUACAGUAUGUAUGAAUUAUUUCGCUUUUACACUACGAAAAUUUCUUACAGAUAACUCUAUAAAAAUUGUUUUAUAA
This 1989-nucleotide long non-coding RNA is filed under the name Theobroma cacao (cacao). RNAcentral describes it as "long non-coding RNA (TCAC_LNC004419)". Lineage: Eukaryota; Viridiplantae; Streptophyta; Magnoliopsida; Malvales; Malvaceae. The record is from RNAcentral.